GGGAACCCCGACGCAGCAACGCCGCGUGGAGGAUGACACUUUUCGGAGCGUAAACUCCUUUUGUUAGGGAAGAAUAAUGACGGUACCUAACGAAUAAGCACCGGCUAACUCCGUGCCAGCAGCCGCGGUAAUACGGAGGGUGCAAGCGUUACUCGGAAUCACUGGGCGUAAAGGACGCGUAGGCGGAUUAUCAAGUCUCUUGUGAAAUCUAACGGCUCAACCGUUAAACUGCUUGGGAAACUGAUAAUCUAGAGUAAGGGAGAGGCAGAUGGAAUUCUUGGUGUAGGGGUAAAAUCCGUAGAUAUCAAGAAGAAUACCUAUUGCGAAGGCGAUCUGCUGGAACUUAACUGACGCUAAUGCGUGAAAGCGUGGGGAGCAAACAGGAUUAUAUACCCUGGUAGUCCACGCCCUAAACGAUGUAUACCGGUUGUUGCUGUGCUAGUCACGGCAGUAAUCCACCUAACGGAUUAAGUAUACCGCCUGGGGGAGUACGGUCGCAAGAUUAAAACUCAAAAGGAAUAGACGGGGACCCGCACAAGCGGUGGAGCAUGUGGGUUUAUU
This 561-nucleotide ribosomal RNA is filed under the name Campylobacter gracilis. Its description in RNAcentral is "bacterial SSU rRNA". It matches the Rfam family "Bacterial small subunit ribosomal RNA", at positions 376 to 951 of the family's 1533-position model. Lineage: Bacteria; Pseudomonadati; Campylobacterota; Epsilonproteobacteria; Campylobacterales; Campylobacteraceae. The record is from RNAcentral.